RNAcentral lists this ribosomal RNA (440 nucleotides) under uncultured bacterium. Its description in RNAcentral is "partial 16S ribosomal RNA". It matches the Rfam family "Bacterial small subunit ribosomal RNA", at positions 338 to 795 of the family's 1533-position model. The record is from RNAcentral.
CCUACGGGAGGCAGCAGUGGGGGAUAUUGCACAAUGGGGGGAACCCUGAUGCAGCGACGCCGCGUGGGUGAAGAAGCGCCUCGGCGCGUAAAGCCCUGUCAGCAGGGAAGAAAAUGACGGUACCUGAAGAAGAAGCCCCGGCUAACUACGUUCCAGCAGCCGCGGUAAUACGUAGGGGGCAAGCGUUAUCCGGAUUUACUGGGUGGAAAGGGGGCGCAGACGGCGAUGCAAGCCAGGAGUGAAAGCCCGGGGCCCAACCCCGGGACUGCUCGUGGAACUGCGUGGCUGGAGUGCAGGAGGGGCAGGCGGAAUUCCUGGUGUAGCGGUGAAAUGCGUAGAUAUCAGGAGGAACACCGGUGGCGAAGGCGGCCUGCUGGACUGCAACUGACGUUGAGGCCCGAAAGCGUGGGGAGCAAACAGGAUUAGAUACCCCAGUAGUC